GUAUUCCCAUUGCCUAACCCAGUGCACAUUGUAGGUCUCAUUAAAUGGUUUGUUGAAUGAAAAAAAUGAAUCAUCAACAGAUAUUAAUUGGGCGUCUGCUCUGUGAUCACUAAG
Molecule: microRNA precursor, 114 nt
Filed under: Dasypus novemcinctus (nine-banded armadillo)
Lineage: Eukaryota; Metazoa; Chordata; Mammalia; Cingulata; Dasypodidae
Description: miRNA (ENSDNOG00000028837.2)
Rfam family: mir-95 microRNA precursor family (bases 25-105)
Source: RNAcentral